GUUCACUCGGCCAGAAAAACUCGGCUCUUUAAUGGUAGCCUACAGUACUACAAGACCUCAUCUGCCUCUCUCAGAGACCUCCCGAUUCCUCUUUGACAAUUCACAAACUGUUAAUAACACUUGCAUGUCCCAGGAGAUGUGGAGCUAUCAGGAUUUUGGGGACCCAGAAAGGGUAAAGCGAUGAUAAGAGAAGAUGCAUCCUGCACAACUUUUAUUGGGGAAGAGGUGCUUAUGAAGAGAGCUGUACCAUCAGGUGUUACUGGAGAGAAGAAGCCUCCUGUCCUAACCCAAGAAUCAUGAUGUAUAUAAAAGGGAAAACUCCUCAGUCAUGCUUCAGUGACGAUGUUGCUACUUAAGGUGGAAGAAUAAUAUUGAGAGAAAUGUCAGGCACCUGGAAGCCCACUGGAAG
Molecule: long non-coding RNA, 409 nt
Organism: Hyaena hyaena (striped hyena)
Lineage: Eukaryota; Metazoa; Chordata; Mammalia; Carnivora; Hyaenidae
Exons: 4
Source: RefSeq, a predicted model, not a curated record